AAAGUUGUUGCAGUUAAAAAGCUCGUAGUUGGACUUUAGGCGAGGUGGCCUGGUCUGCCGUCAGGCAGUACUGGGUUCGCCGAGCCUCACCUUCGGGGAACUAGUGCCUCGUGCGCUAGGGAACCGAGCCUUACUUUGAGAAAAUUAGAGUGUUUAAAGCAGGCUUACGCUUGAAUACUUCAGCAUGGAAUAACAACAUAGGACUUUGGUUCUAUUUUGUUGGUUUGAGGACCAAAGUAAUGAUUAAUAGGGACAGUUGGGGGCAUUAGUAUUCAGUAGUCAGAGGUGAAAUUCUUGGAUUUACUGAGGACUAACUAAUGCGAAAGCAUUUGCCAAGGAUGUUUUCAUUAAUCAAGAACGAAAGUUAGGGGAUCGAAGACGAUUAGAUACCGUCGUAGUCUUAACCAUAAACUAUGCCGACUAGGGAUCGGUGGAUGUCGCUUUUGACUCCAUCGGCACCUUACGAGAAAUCAAAGUUUUUGGGUUCUGGGGGGAGUAUGGUCGCAAGGCUGAAACUUAAAGGAAUUGACGGAAGGGCACCACCAGGAGUGGAGCCUGCGGCUUAAUUUGACUCAACACGGGAAAACUCACCAGGUCCGGACAUAGUAAGGAUUGACAGAUUGAGAGCUCUUUC
Molecule: ribosomal RNA, 634 nt
Filed under: uncultured eukaryote
Lineage: Eukaryota
Description: SSU rRNA
Rfam family: Eukaryotic small subunit ribosomal RNA
Source: RNAcentral